RNAcentral lists this ribosomal RNA (506 nucleotides) under uncultured bacterium. RNAcentral's name for it is "partial 16S ribosomal RNA". It matches the Rfam family "Bacterial small subunit ribosomal RNA", at positions 30 to 523 of the family's 1533-position model. The record is from RNAcentral.
AUUGAACGCUGGCGGCAGGCCUAACACAUGCAAGUCGGACGGUAGCACAGAGGAGCUUGCUCCUUGGGUGACGAGUGGCGGACGGGUGAGUAAUGUCUGGGGAUCUGCCCGAUAGAGGGGGAUAACCACUGGAAACGGUGGCUAAUACCGCAUAACGUCGCAAGACCAAAGAGGGGGACCUUCGGGCCUCUCACUAUCGGAUGAACCCAGAUGGGAUUAGCUAGUAGGCGGGGUAAUGGCCCACCUAGGCGACGAUCCCUAGCUGGUCUGAGAGGAUGACCAGCCACACUGGAACUGAGACACGGUCCAGACUCCUACGGGAGGCAGCAGUGGGGAAUAUUGCACAAUGGGCGCAAGCCUGAUGCAGCCAUGCCGCGUGUAUGAAGAAGGCCUUCGGGUUGUAAAGUACUUUCAGCGGGGAGGAAGGCGAUAAGGUUAAUAACCUUGUCGAUUGACGUUACCCGCAGAAGAAGCACCGGCUAACUCCGUGCCAGCCGCCGCAGUAA